Long non-coding RNA from Lolium perenne, 1995 nucleotides. RefSeq lists it as uncharacterized. Lineage: Eukaryota; Viridiplantae; Streptophyta; Magnoliopsida; Poales; Poaceae. The record is from RefSeq and is a predicted model, not a curated record.
CACCGAUGUCCGAGAAAAUGACCAAAGGCCGCCGGCCGCGCUGCCCCCACCUCCCCGGAGACCGGAGCUGUUCUGUUCAUGGUGCAACUGCCCAUCGACGAGACACGCUGCCGCGCCGCCGCCCUUUGCCGCAGUGGAUCUGGUGGUACUCGCCCUCGCCCUCCCGCCUCUGGUUACGGGCUUGCGGCUUCUUAUGGAGUAUGGAUAUCGCGUCCGGUCCAUCGACGUGCUACCUCCUCCAAAUCGUGGUUCAGUUGUGCACACCAAGUGUUCAUAUAUAUGCCUGAUGAGAAAGAUUGCCAUAACAAAUCAAGGAUCAAAUGCUGGAGAGCUGGAGAUUAUAUGGGUUUAGAGUUUGUCUUGUGAUUUUGCGAAUGCAAUGUUUCGAGAGAAUUUUGGUGAUGGGAAUCUCUUCGACUGUGGUCAUAAUGUUCAAUGCAAACAAUUGACGAUAAAUUUCCAACCACUAUACCUGGUGGUGGCCUUGCAGACUGAAGCUAUUGCUGUUGACACUAUGUCGUGUACUUGAAAAAUGAGCUUAUUGUUUACACAUUCAAACUGGAUGCUCUGCCCACUACAGGAACCAAUGUGUUUUUAAGGAAAAUAAUGUAGCUAAAGAGGAAUGUAUCUUGCCAAAAGUAGUGGCUGAUUCUCCCAGAACCGUAUAUGCAGACAUAAGUGCAAGUUAGCACAAUGCAGCAAUAUAGAAAUACUGAAUCUGAACCUUCCGUCAUCUGAUCAGCUGGCCAAAUGGUUGAUGAAGAGCUGAAGUUGAUUGUGAGGAAAGUGAGUACGUAGUUUAGUUUUCUAGCAUGUGGACUGAGUAUAGAUGUGGCCUCUGGUCACCUGCCUCUUGAUACAUUCACAUGUAUUUCAGUGGGAGGGACUGAAUGGGUACUAAGGUGCAGUGGCUAUUUUUCUACCUGAUAACGAUAUAAUGUUCCAUGGUGUGAUGGUGCCCCUUGGUUUCUGUUUCUCGCACUACACUUCCCCACCCAUGUCGUGCCUGGCAUGUUUAUAUUUCCUAUUUCUUAAACGUAUGGUGCUUACAUGUGGCGAGCAAAUAUGAAAAAUGGCUAUUACACUUCUCUUUAUCGAUAUGAUAGAACCAGGCAAAUAGUUGAGCCUAUUUGUAGGAUUAAGGCACAGACUAGAGAAACAACUUUUGUUUCUCUUUGGUAAAACAAGUAGCACCAAGAACUACAAAUUUUGAAAAAGUUUUCUUGGACCAAAAUACAGGAAUAAGAUAUAUUGCUGCAAUGAACCAUCAACCAUGGAAAAUUAAUCAACAAUGAACAGAAUUGCAUCAUAAUUUCAGCACUGAUGUAAAACAACUAAGAUCAUUUUCAAAUCUCUGCUUUCCGGAACAUUUGAUUGAUCUGCCUUUGGGUUUUUUUGCAUGAUUGCCAGCUAUGUCAUUAUGCAUGUGUGUGAUGAUGUGGCAUGCUAUAUUGCUAUGCUUAUGUUUACAGGAAUAUAUUGGGGUUUUACUACUCGAUUGAGUGCCUUACGGAGAAAGGCUGUCGCCUUUGCUGUGUUGCCCAUGGAGAACACCUCUGUGGACUAUCAUACAUCUCUCAUUCCAAAUGAGACCAUGAUAGGCAAUGUAUCCUCUAUUUGUCUUCCAAUACACUUUGGAUAAAUCAUUGUGUCACAAGAUAUAUGACACAAACUGCAGAUUAUGAUGUUUAGGUGCAGGAUCAAGAUAAUCAGACUGGUGGUUUUGCUCGUGUGAUCGGUGUAGAUGUAGAGCUAUUGAGAUGGCGAUGGGUUUAGUUGCACAGUCAAAGAGUGUCAGCCCUAGGCAUUGCUCUUUGUAUGCUGGCCGUCCUCUCAUUUGAUGCGUAUGCUUUUUUAAUCUCAUGGUUGGCUUUAUGGAUUUAAGAUACAAGCAUGGUGUAAAACAGUAAAAGCGGAGGAUGGUGCAGCUGUAUAGAAGGUCAAUAUAUACGCGACUGUAAAAUAGCAAUCAUGCCGCAGACCUAAACGCUAUGA